Molecule: ribosomal RNA, 292 nt
Filed under: uncultured bacterium
Lineage: Bacteria
Description: partial 16S ribosomal RNA
Rfam family: Bacterial small subunit ribosomal RNA
Source: RNAcentral
GUGUCAGCAGCCGCGGUAAGACAGAGGGUGCAAACGUUGUUCGGAAUUACUGGGCGUAAAGCGCGUGUAGGCUGCUCAGAAAGUCGGAUGUGAAAGCCCUGGGCUUAACCUAGGAAGUGCAUUCGAAACUUCUGAGCUUGAGUUCUGGAGAGGAAGGCGGAAUUCUCGGUGUAGAGGUGAAAUUCGUAGAUAUCGAGAGGAACACCGGUGGCGAAGGCGGCCUUCUGGACAGUGACUGACGCUGAGACGCGAAAGCGUGGGGAGCAAACAGGAUUAGAAACCCCUGUAGUCC